UGGGGAAUAUUGCACAAUGGGCGCAAGCCUGAUGCAGCCAUGCCGCGUGUGUGAAGAAGGCCUUCGGGUUGUAAAGCACUUUCAGCGGGGAGGAAGGCGAUAAGGUUAAUAACCUUGUCGAUUGACGUUACCCGCAGAAGAAGCACCGGCUAACUCCGUGCCAGCAGCCGCGGUAAUACGGAGGGUGCAAGCGUUAAUCGGAAUUACUGGGCGUAAAGCGCACGCAGGCGGUCUGUCAAGUCGGAUGUGAAAUCCCCGGGCUCAACCUGGGAACUGCAUUCGAAACUGGCAGGCUAGAGGCUUGUAGAGGGGGGUAGAAUUCCAGGUGUAGCGGUGAAAUGCGUAGAGAUCUGGGGGAAUACCGGUGGCGAAGGCGGCCCCCUGGACAAAGACUGACGCUCAGGUGCGAAAGCGUGGGGAGCAAACAGG
This 429-nucleotide ribosomal RNA is filed under the name Chloroflexota bacterium. RNAcentral describes it as "Chloroflexi bacterium partial 16S ribosomal RNA". It matches the Rfam family "Bacterial small subunit ribosomal RNA", at positions 355 to 776 of the family's 1533-position model. The record is from RNAcentral. Lineage: Bacteria; Bacillati; Chloroflexota.